UCCCUGGUGGCUCAGAUGGUAAAGAAUCUGCCUGUGAUGCAGGAGACCCAGGUUCAAUCCCUGGGUUGGGAA
Molecule: transfer RNA, 72 nt
Filed under: Bos taurus (domestic cattle)
Lineage: Eukaryota; Metazoa; Chordata; Mammalia; Artiodactyla; Bovidae
Also listed under: 6 other names
Rfam family: tRNA
About the family: Transfer RNA (tRNA) molecules are approximately 80 nucleotides in length. Their secondary structure includes four short double-helical elements and three loops (D, anti-codon, and T loops).
Source: Rfam by way of RNAcentral